This is a long non-coding RNA of Glycine soja, 1389 nucleotides long. RefSeq lists it as uncharacterized. The transcript is spliced from 2 exons. NCBI's taxonomy places the organism in Eukaryota, Viridiplantae, Streptophyta, Magnoliopsida, Fabales, Fabaceae. The record is from RefSeq and is a predicted model, not a curated record.
GCUCAGAUGAUCACGGAACAAAGCAGGAUAUUCAAGUGGCUGAAAAAUUAUUUUCCAAAUUUCACGGGGGAUGCCACCCAGCUUACUGUGUAUGAUGAGGCUCAAGCACGAUCGCAAGAUACACAAUUACGUUAUACUGCUUACUGUUUAGGAUGGAGGGUGAAAAAUAUUUUCUCUUUUGCAAAGUCUCACCCUUAAUCACAUUAUUCUUGACAGUGGGCCGAAAACAGCUCAUUAUCUAUCUUUAUAUAUUCAUUCUAGUUUCAUUUAGAUUGACUUAAUUAAUUUGUUAUACUAUUCUCUUUUGCGUCUCUUUUUCAAGUAAAAUUCGGCAACUCACUCUCUCUCAAACCAUGGCAAAAUCGCGUCUUUUAUUGGUAUCGUUGCCUAUAUAUAUAGCCUUAUACGAAAUUAUAAUGAUAACUGGAUGGGUGUCAGUAUCACUGUAUGGGGGAGUUAUAAAAUUGGUUGGGUAGUAAAAGGAGAAGGGAGGGAGUAAAAGGUCUCAUGUUCAAUUUUUCUUAUUAACAAAAAAUUAAUAAUUAACAACAAAUAUUUAUCGAUAAAAAAAAAAAAUCACUGUAUCGGUGUCCAACUCUUUGGAAGCAUGCUUUGAUGUAAUAACAAGAAUUUUCUGAUAUGUAUGCAAUGCAUAUUCUGUCUAUUGUAAUUUGUAAAUACCAUUUAUUUUAAAACUGGGACUUAUCUUCCGUGUGCUUUCAGUUGCCAUGAGAAGCCAUUCUCUCCGUUGUAUUGUACUAAAGGCGAAAUAGUAAUGGUUGCCACUUACUCCACUAACAAAAGGGGUCAAAAGGAGCUCACAAGUAUAGGAGACAUCUAUCAAUGGGUUAAACAACAGAUCUAAUGGCACCACACCCAAAACAUUACACAAGGAGUCUGUGAAUCUUUUUACUUGUGGUCCUCUCAGCCCAUUUUGGAGUUUGGACCAAUAUGGAACUUCAUUACUCGCACUCUACUAUCCAACAUUACUAUCCAUAUAUUCCUAUGAUAUAAAGCUUUGAAGGUGCUAAGUGAAUACGUAAUUAUGUAUUCAAUGGCAAGUGGUAACAUGGCAUUUGUGCUUAUACGUAAAAUACUUUUCUGAAUCACUCAUGGAUUGGUAGCUCAAAAAAUUGGUGAACAUGAUGCAUCUUCUAUCUUGUGGUCCUUGUGUUGCAUAUUAGUAUGCAGAAUCCCAACUGAACCUCUUAUAUUCUUACUGAAAAUGUUAGUGGAAAAUGCCAUAAUGACAUUGUGGCUGCUGCAACUUUUAUUAUGGUUGAUUAGCACAAAUUUUGUGCAAUAACUGAGUGUCUGGAGUUUAUGUCAACGAGUGUGAUUUCCAUCGGGGAAUUCUAUUGACAAUCUUAGAUAGGCAUUGCUUUGCAA